AACGAACGCUGGCGGCAGGCUUAACACAUGCAAGUCGAGCGCGCCCUUCGGGUGAGCGGCGAACGGGUGAGUAACGCGUGGGAACGUGCCCCUUUCUUCGGAAUAGCCUCGGGAAACUGGGAGUAAUGCCGAAUACGCCGAGCCAUGGAGACAUGGUUUGGGAAAGAUUUAUCGGAGAGGGAUCGGCCCGCGUUGGAUUAGGUAGUUGGUGGGGUAAUGGCCUACCAAGCCGACGAUCCANAGCUGGUUUGAGAGGAUGAUCAGCCACACUGGGACUGAGACACGGCCCAGACUCCUACGGGAGGCAGCAGUGGGGAAUCUUGGACAAUGGGGGCAACCCUGAUCCAGCCAUGCCGCGUGAUCGAUGAAGGCCUUAGGGUUAGUAAAGAUCUUUCAGCUAGGGAAGAUAAUGACGGUACCAGCAGAAGAACGCCCCGGCUAACUCCGUGCCAGCCGCCG
This 459-nucleotide ribosomal RNA is filed under the name uncultured bacterium. Its description in RNAcentral is "bacterial SSU rRNA". It matches the Rfam family "Bacterial small subunit ribosomal RNA", at positions 29 to 517 of the family's 1533-position model. The record is from RNAcentral.